RNAcentral lists this ribosomal RNA (506 nucleotides) under uncultured bacterium. Its description in RNAcentral is "partial 16S ribosomal RNA". It matches the Rfam family "Bacterial small subunit ribosomal RNA", at positions 29 to 523 of the family's 1533-position model. The record is from RNAcentral.
AGUGAGCGCUGGCGGUAGGCCUAACACAUGCAAGUCGAACGGCAGCACAGGAGAGCUUGCUCUCUGGGUGGCGAGUGGCGGACGGGUGAGGAAUACAUCGGAAUCUACUCUGUCGUGGGGGAUAACGUAGGGAAACUUACGCUAAUACCGCAUACGACCUACGGGUGAAAGCAGGGGAUCUUCGGACCUUGCGCGAUUGAAUGAGCCGAUGUCGGAUUAGCUAGUUGGCGGGGUAAAGGCCCACCAAGGCGACGAUCCGUAGCUGGUCUGAGAGGAUGAUCAGCCACACUGGAGCUGAGACACGGUCCAGACUCCUACGGGAGGCAGCAGUGGGGAAUAUUGGACAAUGGGCGCAAGCCUGAUCCAGCCAUACCGCGUGGGUGAAGAAGGCCUUCGGGUUGUAAGGCCCUUUUGUUGGGAAAGAAAUCCAGCUGGCUAAUACCCGGUUGGGAUGACGGUACCCAAAGAAUAAGCACCGGCUAACUUCGUGCCAGCCGCCGCCGUAA